Molecule: long non-coding RNA, 468 nt
Organism: Hirundo rustica (Barn swallow)
Lineage: Eukaryota; Metazoa; Chordata; Aves; Passeriformes; Hirundinidae
Exons: 3
Source: RefSeq, a predicted model, not a curated record
AAGAGGAUGGAGGGAAGCGGCGGGGCCGGGCUGCGCUGGAAGCGGAAUCCCGGGAACAGGAGCGGGAGCAGAAAUCCCCGCCCCGUCACGGGCUCUGCGGCUGGCCUUUAGCAGCGCUUCUCUCUUUGCUUGCGUUUUCUUUUUUUGUAGGUUAUACCAAGUGGCAAUGGCAAGAUUAAAAGUUAGAGGAGAUACUCUGAUUUAUGGAGAUACACAACACUGGUCCUCCAAACACUGCAGAAUGUGUGAGAGUGGAAGAGAGAGUCCUGUGUCCAGGCCAUGGACUCCUUUUUGGGAAACUCCUCCAUGUUUCCCAAAGGCUGAUGUGUUCUUCUGUUGCAAUCCAGUGUGGAAGAAGCCGGGUUCCUUCUUUGCUUCCUAAAACAUGGUGAAGAAUUACAGUGUGCUAAAGAAGAGUAACUAUGCAGUAUCCUCAUAAUGCUGGUAAAGUUCCAGGUUUUAAAUUGG